This 404-nucleotide ribosomal RNA is filed under the name Actinomycetes bacterium. RNAcentral's name for it is "Actinobacteria bacterium partial 16S ribosomal RNA". It matches the Rfam family "Bacterial small subunit ribosomal RNA", at positions 355 to 776 of the family's 1533-position model. The record is from RNAcentral. Lineage: Bacteria; Bacillati; Actinomycetota; Actinomycetes.
UGGGGAAUAUUGGACAAUGGGCGCAAGCCUGAUCCAGCCAUGCCGCGUGAGUGAUGAAGGCCCUAGGGUUGUAAAGCUCUUUCACCGGUGAAGAUAAUGACGGUAACCGGAGAAGAAGCCCCGGCUAACUCCGUGCCAGCAGCCGCGGUAACACGAAGGGGGCUAGCGUUGUUCGGAUUUACUGGGCGUAAAGCGCACGUAGGCGGACUUUUAAGUCAGGGGUGAAAUCCCGGGGCUGAACCCCGGAACUGCCGUUGAUACUGGAAGUCUUGAGUAUGGUAGAGGUGAGUGGAAUUCCGAGUGUAGAGGUGAAAUUCGUAGAUAUUCGGAGGAACACCAGUGGCGGAGGCGGCUCACUGGGCCAUUACUGACGCUGAGGUGCGAAAGCGGGGGGGGCAAACAGG